RNAcentral lists this ribosomal RNA (467 nucleotides) under uncultured bacterium. RNAcentral's name for it is "partial 16S ribosomal RNA". It matches the Rfam family "Bacterial small subunit ribosomal RNA", at positions 28 to 507 of the family's 1533-position model. The record is from RNAcentral.
GACGAACGCUGGCGGCGUGCUUAACACAUGCAAGUCGAACGGAAAGGCCUCUUUCGGGGGGUACUCGAGUGGCGAACGGGUGAGUAACACGUGAGUAACCUGCCCUUGACUUUGGGAUAACUUCAGGAAACUGGGGCUAAUACCGGAUAGGAGCUCCUGCUGCAUGGUGGGGGUUGGAAAGUUUCGGCGGUUGGGGAUGGGCUCGCGGCUUAUCAGCUUGUUGGUGGGGUAGUGGCUUACCAAGGCUUUGACGGGUAGCCGGCCUGAGGGGGUGACCGGCCACAAUGGGGCUGAAGUAAGGCCCAAGCUGCGAAGGGAGGCAACAGGGGGGAAGAAUGCAAAAUGGGUGGAAGGCUGGUGCAGGAACGCCGGGGGCGGGAAGGCGGCCUUCGGGUUGUAAACCGCCUUCGCUCAUGAAGAAGCUUUGUGUGACGGUAGUGGGUAAAGAAGCACCGGCUAACUACGUG